RNAcentral lists this long non-coding RNA (222 nucleotides) under Brassica napus (rape). RNAcentral's name for it is "long non-coding RNA (BNAP_LNC014074)". The record is from RNAcentral. Lineage: Eukaryota; Viridiplantae; Streptophyta; Magnoliopsida; Brassicales; Brassicaceae.
CUCUUCAGUCUACUCCAGACCUGAAAUGAUUCUAAAAGGACUGGACUAAAUCGAUAAAACAUUGAAAACAAGUUAAAAAGCAUAUACACAAUGGUGUCAAAAACACCAUAUAUCAAUUCCCCCAGACUUAGAAACUUUUUUGUCCUCGAGCAAGGUAAGUAUCAAGAACAUGGAAAAUGUUUGAAAGUGUGGGAACUCUCCUAUUUCUCAAUAACCAUACCU